RNAcentral lists this ribosomal RNA (484 nucleotides) under uncultured bacterium. Its description in RNAcentral is "partial 16S ribosomal RNA". It matches the Rfam family "Bacterial small subunit ribosomal RNA", at positions 28 to 523 of the family's 1533-position model. The record is from RNAcentral.
GACGAACGCUGGCGGCGUGCUUAACACAUGCAAGUCGAACGGAAAGGCCCUGCUUUUGUGGGGUGCUCGAGUGGCGAACGGGUGAGUAACACGUGAGUAACCUGCCCUUGACUUUGGGAUAACUUCAGGAAACUGGGGCUAAUACCGGAUAGGAGCUCCUGCUGCAUGGUGGGGGUUGGAAAGUUUCGGCGGUUGGGGAUGGACUCGCGGCUUAUCAGCUUGUAGGUGGGGUAGUGGCUUACCAAGGCUUUGACGGGUAGCCGGCCUGAGAGGGUGACCGGCCACAUUGGGAAUGAGAUACGGCCCAGACUCCUACGGGAGGCAGCAGUGGGGAAUAUUGCACAAUGGGCGGAAGCCUGAGGCAGCAACGCCGCGUGCGGGAUGACGGCCUUCGGGUUGUAAACCGCUUUCGCCUGUGACGAAGCGUGAGUGACGGUAAUGGGUAAAGAAGCACCGGCUAACUACGUGCCAGCCGCCGCGGUAA